RNAcentral lists this unclassified non-coding RNA (249 nucleotides) under Hevea brasiliensis (rubber tree). The record is from RNAcentral. Lineage: Eukaryota; Viridiplantae; Streptophyta; Magnoliopsida; Malpighiales; Euphorbiaceae.
UCUCUCUCUCUCUCUCUCUCAGUAGUUUUUGUUUGUAAGCAAAACUAACUAUAGAUUGUGAAAUUUAUGAUCCAAGGAUUUUCAUUAUUAAAAUUAUAGAUUCCAUUGACAAUAAAUUAUUGUUCUUUUGUUAUAAUCCUUGAUAGCACCAAGUUAAUGCUGGUCAUUGUCAUCUGUUAUGUGUGGUAAUUGCUGCAGGGUAGCAAGAAUGAGGAGGAGGAGUUCAAUACAGGACCUCUUUCAGUACUC